UACGUAGGGGGCUAGCGUUGUCCGGAAUUACUGGGCGUAAAGCGUGCGCAGGCGGCUUUGCAAGACAGAUGUGAAAUCCCCGGGCUCAACCUGGGAAUGGCGAUGGUGACUGCAAGGCUAGAGUUUGGCAGAGGGGGGUAGAAUUCCACGUGUAGCAGUGAAAUGCGUAGAUAUGUGGAGGAACACCGAUGGCGAAGGCAGCCCCCUGGGUCAAAACUGACGCUCAUGCACGAAAGCGUGGGGAGCAAACAGG
This 253-nucleotide ribosomal RNA is filed under the name uncultured bacterium. RNAcentral describes it as "partial 16S ribosomal RNA". It matches the Rfam family "Bacterial small subunit ribosomal RNA", at positions 524 to 776 of the family's 1533-position model. The record is from RNAcentral.